This 760-nucleotide ribosomal RNA is filed under the name Heth gordae. RNAcentral describes it as "eukaryotic LSU rRNA". It matches the Rfam family "Eukaryotic large subunit ribosomal RNA", at positions 340 to 923 of the family's 3401-position model. The record is from RNAcentral. Lineage: Eukaryota; Metazoa; Nematoda; Chromadorea; Rhabditida; Hethidae.
UCAUACAAGUACCGUGAGGGAAAGUUGCAAAGGAACUUGAAGAGAGAGUUCAAGAGGGCGUGAAACCGCUGAGAAGGAAACGGAUAGAGUUGACGAAACUCGGCGGCGUUCAUCCGAUCGGCCUAGCGGCGCCGCGGCUUCGCGCCUCGAUGAGGGCGAAGACGAGGAGUGCUGCCGGGCGUGUGAUUGGAGUAUUCGCCGUCGGUAUGCGCUGAGAGUUUGGGCGCCGUGCGCUUGCGUACGUGUAGUGGACCACGUCCUCUGGGCGUGGCACCCUCCACGUGCUAAGGCGUAUCGGCACUCAAGCCGUUGAGUGUGUCUCGGCUAGUGUUGCGCAGCGGUUGCAGUUGGCUGGCACGGCUGUUGGGCGGUCGCGUGCGACUUGCCUACGGCUGGCGUCAGCAAGCAGCGAUGCGGUUGCGUUGGGACGCAUUUCUCGGUGUAAACGUCGACCACCUAUCCGACCCGUCUUGAAACACGGACCAAGGAGUCUAGCAUAUGCGCGAGUCAUUGGGUGGUAAACCUAAAGGCGUAAUGAAAGUAAAGGUCGCCUUGAUGCGGCUGAUAUGGGAUCCGCGCGGUUGCGGCCGUGCGGCGCACCAUAGCCCCGUCCUCGUCGCUUGCGAUAGGGCGGAGGAGGAGCGCAUACUCUUUGUCCCGAAAGAUGGUGAACUAUGCCUGAGCAGGAUGAAGCACGAGCUCUGGUGGAGGUCCGAAGCGGUUCUGAGGGUGCAAAUCGAUCGUGAGACUGGGAUAGGGG